Molecule: ribosomal RNA, 253 nt
Filed under: uncultured bacterium
Lineage: Bacteria
Description: partial 16S ribosomal RNA
Rfam family: Bacterial small subunit ribosomal RNA
Source: RNAcentral
UACGUAGGGUGCGAGCGUUAAUCGGAAUUACUGGGCGUAAAGUGUGCGCAGGCGGCCGAGCAAGUCGAGUGUGAAAGCCCCGAGCUUAACUUGGGAACUGCGCUCGAAACUACUUGGCUAGAGUGUGGCAGAGGGAGGUGGAAUUCCACGUGUAGCGGUGAAAUGCGCAGAUAUCAGGAGGAACACCAAUGGCGAAGGCAGCUCGCUGGGACGGUACUGACGCUGAGACGCGAAAGCGUGGGGAGCAAACAGG